GGUAGCGUGGCCGAGCGGUCCAAGGCGCUGGAAUAAGGCACCAGUCUCUUCGGGGGCAUGGGUUCGAAUCCCAUCGCUGCCA
Molecule: transfer RNA, 82 nt
Filed under: Daphnia pulicaria
Lineage: Eukaryota; Metazoa; Arthropoda; Branchiopoda; Diplostraca; Daphniidae
Description: tRNA-Leu
Rfam family: tRNA
About the family: Transfer RNA (tRNA) molecules are approximately 80 nucleotides in length. Their secondary structure includes four short double-helical elements and three loops (D, anti-codon, and T loops).
Source: RNAcentral